RNAcentral lists this ribosomal RNA (261 nucleotides) under uncultured archaeon. RNAcentral describes it as "partial 16S ribosomal RNA". It matches the Rfam family "Archaeal small subunit ribosomal RNA", at positions 748 to 1013 of the family's 1478-position model. The record is from RNAcentral.
CAGCCGUAAACAAUGUGCGUUAGGUGUGUCGGUAACCACGCGUUACUGAUGCGCCGAAGAGAAAUCGUGAAACGCACCACCUGGGAAGUACGGUCGCAAGGCUGAAACUUAAAGGAAUUGGCGGGGGGAGCACCACAACAGGUGGAGCCUGCGGUUUAAUUGGAUUCAACGCCGGACAUCUCACCGGAUAAGACAGCUGAAUGAUUGUCAAUCUGAAGGUUUUACAUGACUAGCUGAGAGGAGGUGCAUGGCGUAGUCGUG